RNAcentral lists this ribosomal RNA (400 nucleotides) under phytoplankton environmental sample. RNAcentral describes it as "partial small subunit ribosomal RNA". It matches the Rfam family "Eukaryotic small subunit ribosomal RNA", at positions 587 to 990 of the family's 1831-position model. The record is from RNAcentral.
AGCUCCAAUAGCGUAUAUUAAAGUUGUUGCAGUUAAAAAGCUCGUAGUUGAAUUUGUGGUGGUUGUUUGCCCCCCUUCACUCUGUGUUGGGUAGAGUAAGCAACCCCAUGCUUGGAGUGGAAGCUGUGUGGCAUUAAGUUGUCGUGCAGUGAAAGCCCAUCGUUUACUGUGAAAAAAUUAGAGUGUUCAAAGCAGGCAGUGGCUCAUGAAUAUAUUAGCAUGGAAUAAUGAGAUAGGACUUCGGUACUAUUUUGUUGGUUUGCACGUUGUGGUAAUGAUUAACAGGAACGGUUGGGGGUAUUCGUAUUCAAUUGUCAGAGGUGAAAUUCUUGGAUUUGUGGAAGACGAACUACUGCGAAAGCAUUUACCAAGGAUGUUUUCAUUAAUCAAGAACGAAAGU